This is a long non-coding RNA of Salvia hispanica, 863 nucleotides long. RefSeq lists it as uncharacterized. NCBI's taxonomy places the organism in Eukaryota, Viridiplantae, Streptophyta, Magnoliopsida, Lamiales, Lamiaceae. The record is from RefSeq and is a predicted model, not a curated record.
CUUCUAUCCAGUUUGCUACUUAACAUAAUUAUGUUCGAUGUUUGGGAUGUUAUUACUUGGUGGUUUGGCUAGUUCACAGUGGUGCACUAUUUGGUUUUCUGUUUCAUUUGAAAGCUAUGGUAUUGAACUCUAAAAUUUAUGUGUUCUUGAGCAUCUAUGGUUCUAAGUUUUAAAGAUGUGGGAUUUCUAACGUGAUGCAAAGGGUGGUGUUGGGAGAUUACCUUGGCUUGGUGAUUCCUCUUGGUUUACCGGGCUGCCCUCUCGCACAGCCACUGCCUUCCUCCCUCGUUACUCCUCCGUCACUUGUGGAUUUUUGGGGGUCGAAAAUGGUGGGGAGAGGAUGGAACUGGCUAUGUAUACAUGUAUAUAUAUAGGCUGAAAAUCUGCUUGGUUGUUGGGAUUUUGGCAGAGGGAUGUGUGCAGAGAGAAAUCUGCUCUCUUGGCUUCUUCUUGCUUAGACCUUAAUGGAGUUUGUCUUCUUGUUGCAGCUCCUGCGACCUUUUGGGAUUUGGUCAAUAUUUUGAUUAGGGACAACCCAGAUUUUGAUUAGGGACAACCCAGCUCUUCCUUGGCUCUUUGUUAACUACUUUUGACAUUUUGUGCAUAGGAGUGUUGUUAGCUAAACAGGUGACAAUCGGUUGAGGCCCUAUGUGGCUGAUCUUCAAGCUAUUGGGCCGAGUUUUGAGUGGGCCGAAGAAAAGACAUUUGGCUGGAUAAGAAGAGGCCCGAAAUCUAUAUACAUUUUUUUUGUAUAAUCUGAAACAUGUUCUUGAUCCAUUAUUUAUUUUGGGCUUAAGUUCUCUUGUACUAAACGAAAUUUGAAAAUACUCUUGACCAAUCCUAAAUGUCCAAUUCUCCUUUAA